This 73-nucleotide transfer RNA is filed under the name Stegodyphus mimosarum. It matches the Rfam family "tRNA". From Rfam's summary of the family: Transfer RNA (tRNA) molecules are approximately 80 nucleotides in length. Their secondary structure includes four short double-helical elements and three loops (D, anti-codon, and T loops). Further hydrogen bonds mediate the characteristic L-shaped molecular structure. tRNAs have two regions of fundamental functional importance: the anti-codon, which is responsible for specific mRNA codon recognition, and the 3' end, to which the tRNAs corresponding amino acid is attached (by aminoacyl-tRNA synthetases). tRNAs cope with the degeneracy of the genetic code in two manners: having more than one tRNA (with a specific anti-codon) for a particular amino acid; and 'wobble' base-pairing, i.e. permitting non-standard base-pairing at the 3rd anti-codon position. Lineage: Eukaryota; Metazoa; Arthropoda; Arachnida; Araneae; Eresidae. The record is from Rfam by way of RNAcentral.
GUUUUCUUGGUGUAGUGGUCAACAUGCUCGACCCGUAACCGAGAGGUCCGUGGUUCGAUUCCCGGGGAAGGCG